This 1643-nucleotide ribosomal RNA is filed under the name Salmonella enterica subsp. enterica serovar Heidelberg. RNAcentral's name for it is "bacterial LSU rRNA". It matches the Rfam family "Bacterial large subunit ribosomal RNA", at positions 1271 to 2892 of the family's 2925-position model. The record is from RNAcentral. Lineage: Bacteria; Pseudomonadati; Pseudomonadota; Gammaproteobacteria; Enterobacterales; Enterobacteriaceae.
UGCUGGAGGUAUCAGAAGUGCGAAUGCUGACAUAAGUAACGAUAAAGCGGGUGAAAAGCCCGCUCGCCGGAAGACCAAGGGUUCCUGUCCAACGUUAAUCGGGGCAGGGUGAGUCGACCCCUAAGGCGAGGCCGAAAGGCGUAGUCGAUGGGAAACGGGUUAAUAUUCCCGUACUUGGUGUUACUGCGAAGGGGGGACGGAGAAGGCUAUGUUGGCCGGGCGACGGUUGUCCCGGUUUAAGCGUGUAGGUGUGUGUUCCAGGUAAAUCCGGUUCACUUUAACACUGAGGCGUGAUGACGAGGCACUACGGUGCUGAAGCAACAAAUGCCCUGCUUCCAGGAAAAGCCUCUAAGCAUCAGGUAACAUCAAAUCGUACCCCAAACCGACACAGGUGGUCAGGUAGAGAAUACCAAGGCGCUUGAGAGAACUCGGGUGAAGGAACUAGGCAAAAUGGUGCCGUAACUUCGGGAGAAGGCACGCUGACACGUAGGUGAAGUGAUUUACUCACGGAGCUGAAGUCAGUCGAAGAUACCAGCUGGCUGCAACUGUUUAUUAAAAACACAGCACUGUGCAAACACGAAAGUGGACGUAUACGGUGUGACGCCUGCCCGGUGCCGGAAGGUUAAUUGAUGGGGUCAGCGCAAGCGAAGCUCCUGAUCGAAGCCCCGGUAAACGGCGGCCGUAACUAUAACGGUCCUAAGGUAGCGAAAUUCCUUGUCGGGUAAGUUCCGACCUGCACGAAUGGCGUAAUGAUGGCCAGGCUGUCUCCACCCGAGACUCAGUGAAAUUGAACUCGCUGUGAAGAUGCAGUGUACCCGCGGCAAGACGGAAAGACCCCGUGAACCUUUACUAUAGCUUGACACUGAACAUUGAGCCUUGAUGUGUAGGAUAGGUGGGAGGCUUUGAAGCGUGGACGCCAGUCUGCGUGGAGCCGACCUUGAAAUACCACCCUUUAAUGUUUGAUGUUCUAACGUGGACCCGUGAUCCGGGUUGCGGACAGUGUCUGGUGGGUAGUUUGACUGGGGCGGUCUCCUCCUAAAGAGUAACGGAGGAGCACGAAGGUUGGCUAAUCCUGGUCGGACAUCAGGAGGUUAGUGCAAUGGCAUAAGCCAGCUUGACUGCGAGCGUGACGGCGCGAGCAGGUGCGAAAGCAGGUCAUAGUGAUCCGGUGGUUCUGAAUGGAAGGGCCAUCGCUCAACGGAUAAAAGGUACUCCGGGGAUAACAGGCUGAUACCGCCCAAGAGUUCAUAUCGACGGCGGUGUUUGGCACCUCGAUGUCGGCUCAUCACAUCCUGGGGCUGAAGUAGGUCCCAAGGGUAUGGCUGUUCGCCAUUUAAAGUGGUACGCGAGCUGGGUUUAGAACGUCGUGAGACAGUUCGGUCCCUAUCUGCCGUGGGCGCUGGAGAACUGAGGGGGGCUGCUCCUAGUACGAGAGGACCGGAGUGGACGCAUCACUGGUGUUCGGGUUGUCAUGCCAAUGGCACUGCCCGGUAGCUAAAUGCGGAAGAGAUAAGUGCUGAAAGCAUCUAAGCACGAAACUUGCCCCGAGAUGAGUUCUCCCUGAGACUUAGAGUCUCCUGAAGGAACGUUGAAGACGACGACGUUGAUAGGCCGGGUGUGUAAGCGCAGCGAUGCGUUGAGCU